RNAcentral lists this ribosomal RNA (1576 nucleotides) under Escherichia coli. Its description in RNAcentral is "partial 23S ribosomal RNA". It matches the Rfam family "Bacterial large subunit ribosomal RNA", at positions 1371 to 2925 of the family's 2925-position model. The record is from RNAcentral. Lineage: Bacteria; Pseudomonadati; Pseudomonadota; Gammaproteobacteria; Enterobacterales; Enterobacteriaceae.
GGGGCAGGGUGAGUCGACCCCUAAGGCGAGGCCGAAAGGCGUAGUCGAUGGGAAACAGGUUAAUAUUCCUGUACUUGGUGUUACUGCGAAGGGGGGACGGAGAAGGCUAUGUUGGCCGGGCGACGGUUGUCCCGGUUUAAGCGUGUAGGCUGGUUUUCCAGGCAAAUCCGGAAAAUCAAGGCUGAGGCGUGAUGACGAGGCACUACGGUGCUGAAGCGACAAAUGCCCUGCUUCCAGGAAAAGCCUCUAAGCAUCAGGUAACAUCAAAUCGUACCCCAAACCGACACAGGUGGUCAGGUAGAGAAUACCAAGGCGCUUGAGAGAACUCGGGUGAAGGAACUAGGCAAAAUGGUGCCGUAACUUCGGGAGAAGGCACGCUGAUAUGUAGGUGAAGCGACUUGCUCGUGGAGCUGAAAUCAGUCGAAGAUACCAGCUGGCUGCAACUGUUUAUUAAAAACACAGCACUGUGCAAACACGAAAGUGGACGUAUACGGUGUGACGCCUGCCCGGUGCCGGAAGGUUAAUUGAUGGGGUUAGCGGUAACGCGAAGCUCUUGAUCGAAGCCCCGGUAAACGGCGGCCGUAACUAUAACGGUCCUAAGGUAGCGAAAUUCCUUGUCGGGUAAGUUCCGACCUGCACGAAUGGCGUAAUGAUGGCCAGGCUGUCUCCACCCGAGACUCAGUGAAAUUGAACUCGCUGUGAAGAUGCAGUGUACCCGCGGCAAGACGGAAAGACCCCGUGAACCUUUACUAUAGCUUGACACUGAACAUUGAGCCUUGAUGUGUAGGAUAGGUGGGAGGCUUUGAAGUGUGGACGCCAGUCUGCAUGGAGCCGACCUUGAAAUACCACCCUUUAAUGUUUGAUGUUCUAACGUGGGCCCCUUACCGGGGUUGCGGACAGUGUCUGGUGGGUAGUUUGACUGGGGCGGUCUCCUCCUAAAGAGUAACGGAGGAGCACGAAGGUUGGCUAAUCCUGGUCGGACAUCAGGAGGUUAGUGCAAUGGCAUAAGCCAGCUUGACUGCGAGCGUGACGGCGCGAGCAGGUGCGAAAGCAGGUCAUAGUGAUCCGGUGGUUCUGAAUGGAAGGGCCAUCGCUCAACGGAUAAAAGGUACUCCGGGGAUAACAGGCUGAUACCGCCCAAGAGUUCAUAUCGACGGCGGUGUUUGGCACCUCGAUGUCGGCUCAUCACAUCCUGGGGCUGAAGUAGGUCCCAAGGGUAUGGCUGUUCGCCAUUUAAAGUGGUACGCGAGCUGGGUUUAGAACGUCGUGAGACAGUUCGGUCCCUAUCUGCCGUGGGCGCUGGAGAACUGAGGGGGGCUGCUCCUAGUACGAGAGGACCGGAGUGGACGCAUCACUGGUGUUCGGGUUGUCAUGCCAAUGGCACUGCCCGGUAGCUAAAUGCGGAAGAGAUAAGUGCUGAAAGCAUCUAAGCACGAAACUUGCCCCGAGAUGAGUUCUCCCUGACUCCUUGAGAGUCCUGAAGGAACGUUGAAGACGACGACGUUGAUAGGCCGGGUGUGUAAGCGCAGCGAUGCGUUGAGCUAACCGGUACUAAUGAACCGUGAGGCUUAACCUU